Molecule: ribosomal RNA, 696 nt
Filed under: uncultured bacterium
Lineage: Bacteria
Description: bacterial SSU rRNA
Rfam family: Bacterial small subunit ribosomal RNA
Source: RNAcentral
CUAAUACAUGGCAAGUCGAACGCUGAAACACUCUGCUUGCAGAGUGUGGAUGAGUGGCGAACGGGUGAGUAACACGUGGGGAAUCUGCCUAUAAGUGGGGGAUAACAUUCGGAAACGGAUGCUAAUACCGCAUAUAUUCAAAAACCGCAUGGUUUCUGAAAGAAAGACGGCUUUGCUGUCGCUUAUAGAUGAUCCCGCGGCGUAUUAGUUAGUUGGUGGGGUAAUGGCCUACCAAGACCAUGAUACGUAGCCGACCUGAGAGGGUGAUCGGCCACACUGGGACUGAGACACGGCCCAGACUCCUACGGGAGGCAGCAGUAGGGAAUCUUCCACAAUGGGUGCAAACCUGAUGGAGCAAUGCCGCGUGAAUGAAGAAGGUCUUCGGAUCGUAAAGUUCUGUUAUUAGAGAAGAACAAGUCAAGGAGUAACUGUCUUGACUUUGACGGUACCUAACCAGAAAGUCACGGCUAACUACGUGCCAGCAGCCGCGGUAAUACGUAGGUGACAAGCGUUGUCCGGAAUUAUUGGGCGUAAAGGGAGCGCAGGCGGUUGGAAUAGUCUGAUGUGAAAGCCCACGGCUUAACCGUGGAAGGUCAUUGGAAACUGUCCAACUUGAAUGCAGAAGAGGUAAGUGGAAUUCCAUGUGUAGCGGUGAAAUGCGUAGAUAUAUGGAGGAACACCAGUGGCGAAGGCGAC